AUGAAGAACGCAGUGAAAUGCGAUAAGUAAUGUGAAUUGCAGAAUUCAGUGAAUCAUCGAGUCUUUGAACGCACAUUGCGCCCCCUGGUAUUCCGGGGGGCAUGCCUGUCCGAGCGUCAUUGCUGCCCUCAAGCACGGCUUGUGUGUUGGGCCUCCGUCCUCCUCCCGGGGGACGGGCCCGAAAGGCAGCGGCGGCACCGCGUCCGGUCCUCGAGCGUAUGGGGCUUCGUCACCCGCUCUUGUAGGCCCGGCCGGCGCUUGCCGACACAUCAAUCUUUUUUCCAGGUUGACCUCGGAUCAGGUAGGGAUACCCGCUGAACUUAAGCAUAUCAAUAAGCGGAGGA
This 344-nucleotide unclassified non-coding RNA is filed under the name soil metagenome. RNAcentral describes it as "partial contains 5.8S ribosomal RNA, internal transcribed spacer 2, and large subunit ribosomal RNA". The stretch from base 1 to 119 matches the Rfam family "5.8S ribosomal RNA", at positions 36 to 154 of the family's 154-position model. The record is from RNAcentral.